This 2395-nucleotide ribosomal RNA is filed under the name human gut metagenome. RNAcentral's name for it is "bacterial LSU rRNA". It matches the Rfam family "Bacterial large subunit ribosomal RNA", at positions 14 to 2582 of the family's 2925-position model. The record is from RNAcentral.
AGGGCAUUUGGUGAAUGCCUUGGCACUCAGAGGCGAAGAAGGACGUAAUACACUGCGAAAAGUCACGGGGAGUUGUGAAUAAGCAUUGAUCCGUGAAUGUCCGAAUGGGGAAACCCACAGAGCAAUCUGUAUCGUAACAUGAAUACAUAGUGUUGCGAAGCGAACGCAGGGAACUGAAACAUCUAAGUACCUGUAGGAAAGGAAAUCAACCGAGACUCCGAAAGUAGUGGCGAGCGAAAUCGGACCAGCCGAUGGAUUUGAUUGUAAGAACUAGAACAGCGUGGGAAAGCUGACCGAAGAUGGUGAUAGUCCAGUAUAGGUAGAAAGCAAUUAAGUUCUUGAGUAGGGCGGAGCACGAGAAAUUCUGUCUGAAAAUGGGGAGACCACUCUCCAAGGCUAAGUACUACUGAGUGACCGAUAGUGAACAAGUACCGUGAGGGAAAGGUGAAAAGCACCCCUAUAAGGGGAGUGAAAAAGAACCUGAAACCGGAUGCCUACAAGCAGUCGGAGGAGCAUUAGGCUCUGACGGCGUACCUUUUGUAUAAUGGGUCAGCGACUUAAUUUAUGUAGCAAGCUUAAGCCGAUAGGUGUAGGCGCAGCGAAAGCGAGUGUUAAUAGCGCGUUAAGUUACAUGGAUUAGACCCGAAACCGAGUGAUCUAGCCAUGAUCAGGUUGAAGGUUGGGUAACACCAACUGGAGGACCGAACCCACUCCCGUUGAAAAGGUAGGGGAUGAAUUGUGGCUAGGGGUGAAAGGCCAAUCAAACUCGGAAAUAGCUGGUUCUCCGCGAAAACUAUUUAGGUAGUGCGGCAAGCGGACACGUUGAGGGGUAGAGCACUGAAAGAGCUAAGGGGGAGCGAUCCUUACUAAACUUUAUCAAACUCCGAAUACUCAACAGUGAUACUUGCCAGACAGACUGUAGGUGCUAAGGUCUACGGUCGAGAGGGAAAGAGCCCAGACCGCCAAUUAAGGUCCCAAAAUUAUGGCUAAGUGGUAAAGGAAGUGAAUUGUCCAAAACAGUCAGGAGGUUGGCUUAGAAGCAGCCAUCCUUUAAAGAAAGCGUAAUAGCUCACUGAUCUAAACAAGACGAUUUGCGCCGAAGAUGUAACGGGGCUAAAGCCAUAUACCGAAGUUGCGGAAUUGCACGUAAGUGUAAUUGGUAGCGGAGCGUUCUGUAAGCCUGCGAAGGUGUUCCGUAAGGAAUGCUGGAGGUAUCAGAAGUGAGAAUGCUGACAUGAGUAGCGAAAAGAAGUGUGAGAGACACUUCCGCUGAAAGUCCAAGGUUUCCUGCGUAAAGCUAAUCUGCGCAGGGUUAGUCGGCCCCUAAGGCGAGGCAGAGAUGCGUAGUCGAUGGGAAUCAGGUUAAUAUUCCUGAACCAACUAGGAAGUGACGGAUUCAGUAAAUUGUAUGUCCUUAUUGGAUUGGAUGUGCAGUGAAUGAGUCCCGGGAAAUAGCCCUAGUAUAGACCGUACCCGAAACCGACACAGGUAGGUAGAGAAUACCAAAGCGCUUGAGAGAACUAUGUUGAAGGAACUAGGCAAAAUACUUGCGUAACUUCGGGAUAAGCAAGCCCCAUUUCUGGGCAACCAGAGGUGGGGGGCACAUACUAGGGGGUAGCGACUGUUUACUAAAAACACAGGGCUCUGCUAAAUUGAAAGAUGAAGUAUAGGGUCUGACGCCUGCCCGGUGCUGGAAGGUUAAGGAGAGAUGUGCAAGCAUUGAACUGAAGCCCCAGUAAACGGCGGCCGUAACUAUAACGGUCCUAAGGUAGCGAAAUUCCUUGUCGGGUAAGUUCCGACCUGCACGAAUGGCGUAACGACUUCCCCGCUGUCUCCAACAUAGACUCAGCGAAAUUGAAUUCUGAGUUAAGAUGCUCAGUACCCGCGGUUAGACGGGAAGACCCCGUGAACCUUUACUAUAGCUUUGCAGUGGUAUUAGGUGACAAAUGUGUAGGAUAGGUGGGAUGCUAUGAAGUUAUGACGCUAGUUGUAAUGGAGCAGACGUUGAAAUACCACCCUUUUGUUAUUUGAUAUCUAACCUGCUUCCGUUAUCCGGAAGAGGGACCCUGCAUGGUGGGUAGUUUGACUGGGGCGGUCGCCUCCCAAAGAGUAACGGAGGCGCGCAAAGGUUGGCUCAGAUUGGUCGGAAAUCAAUCGUUGAGUGCAAUGGCAUAAGCCAGCCUGACUGCGAGAGCGACAGUUCGAGCAGAGACGAAAGUCGGUCAUAGUGAUCCGGUGGUCCCGAGUGGAAGGGCCAUCGCUCAACGGAUAAAAGGUACUCCGGGGAUAACAGGCUGAUUCCGCCCAAGAGUUCACAUCGACGGCGGAGUUUGGCACCUCGAUGUCGGCUCAUCACAUCCUGGGGCUGGAGAAGGUCCCAAGGGUUCGGCUGUUC